UAGAGUUUGAUCAUGGCUCACCAUGAACGCUAGCUACAGGCUUAACACAUGCAAGUCGAGGGGCAACGGGCAGAAGGCUUGCCUUCCGCGCCGACGACCGGCGGAUGGGUGAGUAACGCGUAUCCAACCUGCCGCGUGCCCGUGGACAGCCCUUAGAAAUGAGGAUUAAUACACGGUGCGGUGUGACGGCUGCAUGGCAGUCACACGAAAGUCGCGAGACGGCACGCGAUGGGGAUGCGUCCCAUUAGGCAGUUGGCGGGGUAACGGCCCACCAAGCCGACGAUGGGUAGGGGUUCUGAGAGGAAGGUCCCCCACAUUGGUACUGAGACACGGACCAAACUCCUACGGGAGGCAGCAGUGAGGAAUAUUGGUCAAUGGGCGGAAGCCUGAACCAGCCAAGUAGCGUGAAGGAAGAAGGCCCUACGGGUUGUAAACUUCUUUUGCCGCGGGAUAAAGUGCUUCACGAGUGGGGCAUUGCAGGUACGCGGUGAAUAAGGACCGGCUAAUUCCGUGCCAGCAGCCGCGGUAAUACGGAAGGUCCGGGCGUUAUCCGGAUUUAUUGGGUUUAAAGGGAGCGCAGGUUGGUGCGUAAGUCAGCCGUUAAAUAUCGGGGCUCAACCCCGUCCGGCGGUUGAAACUGCGUGUCUUGAGUGCACAAGAGGCAGGUGGAAUUCGUGGUGUAGCGGUGAAAUGCAUAGAUAUCACGAAGAACUCCGAUUGCGAAGGCAGCCUGCUGGGGUGCAACUGACACUCAUGCUCGAAGGUGCGGGAAUCAAACAGGAUUAGAUACCCUGGUAGUCCGCACAGUAAACGAUGGAUGCCCGCGGUGCGCGCAGUAAGCGUACGUCGCCAAGCGAAAGCGUUAAGCAUCCCACCUGGGGAGUACGCCGGCAACGGUGAAACUCAAAGGAAUUGACGGGGGCCCGCACAAGCGGAGGAACAUGUGGUUUAAUUCGAUGAUACGCGAGGAACCUUACCCGGGCUUGAAAGGCCGCCGGCGGCGACUGGAGACGGUCGCUUUCUUCGGACGGCGGUCUAGGUGCUGCAUGGUUGUCGUCAGCUCGUGCCGUGAGGUGUCGGCUUAAGUGCCAUAACGAGCGCAACCCUCAUCGCUGGUUACCAUCGGGUAAAGCCGGGGACUCCAGUGACACUGCCAUCGCAAGAUGUGAGGAAGGCGGGGAUGACGUCAAAUCAGCACGGCCCUUACGUCCGGGGCUACACACGUGUUACAAUGGGGGGCACAGCGAGCAGAAAUGCGGUGACGCGUUUCGAAUCCUUAAAUCCCCUCCCCAGUUCGGACUGGAGUCUGCAACCCGACUCCACGAAGCUGGAUUCGCUAGUAAUCGCGCAUCAGCCAUGGCGCGGUGAAUACGUUCCCGGGCCUUGUACACACCGCCCGUCAAGCCAUGAAAGCCGGGGGUGCCUGAAGUCCGUAGCCAUAAAGGCGCGGCCUAGGGCAAUACCGGUGAUUGGGGCUAAGUCGUAACAAGGUAACC
RNAcentral lists this ribosomal RNA (1496 nucleotides) under uncultured bacterium. Its description in RNAcentral is "16S ribosomal RNA". It matches the Rfam family "Bacterial small subunit ribosomal RNA". The record is from RNAcentral.